UGGACAGAUUAUUGUAUUCGACUGUAUUCACGACGUGAAAUAGGGGAUUACACUAUUUUUAAAACGGAAAGUGAAUCAAUUAACAUAAUAGACUCCU
Nicotiana attenuata is the source of this 97-nucleotide microRNA precursor. It matches the Rfam family "MIR6152 microRNA precursor family". Lineage: Eukaryota; Viridiplantae; Streptophyta; Magnoliopsida; Solanales; Solanaceae. The record is from Rfam.